AUUGAACGCUGGCGGCAUGCCUAACACAUGCAAGUCGAGCGGAUGAAGGGAGCUUGCUCCUGGAUUCAGCGGCGGACGGGUGAGUAAUGCCUAGGAAUCUGCCUGGUAGUGGGGGAUAACGUCCGGAAACGGGCGCUAAUACCGCAUACGUCCUGAGGGAGAAAGGGGGGGAUCUUCGGACCUCACGCUAUCAGAUGAGCCUAGGUCGGAUUAGCUAGUUGGUGGGGUAAAGGCCUACCAAGGCGACGAUCCGUAACUGGUCUGAGAGGAUGAUCAGUCACACUGGAACUGAGACACGGUCCAGACUCCUACGGGAGGCAGCAGUGGGGAAUAUUGGACAAUGGGCGAAAGCCUGAUCCAGCCAUGCCGCGUGUGUGAAGAAGGUCUUCGGAUUGUAAAGCACUUUAAGUCGGGAGGAAGGGCAGUAAGUUAAUACCUUGCUGUUUUGACGUUACCAAAAGAAUAAGCACCGGCUAACUUCGUG
RNAcentral lists this ribosomal RNA (484 nucleotides) under uncultured bacterium. RNAcentral describes it as "partial 16S ribosomal RNA". It matches the Rfam family "Bacterial small subunit ribosomal RNA", at positions 30 to 507 of the family's 1533-position model. The record is from RNAcentral.